This 320-nucleotide ribosomal RNA is filed under the name uncultured eukaryote. Its description in RNAcentral is "partial 18S ribosomal RNA". It matches the Rfam family "Eukaryotic small subunit ribosomal RNA", at positions 1470 to 1796 of the family's 1831-position model. The record is from RNAcentral.
CCCCUAGAUGUUCUGGGCCGCACGCGCGCUACACUGAACAGUUCAACAAGUCUUAACCUUGGCCGAUAGGUCUGGGUAAUCUUUGAACGCUGUUCGUGAUUGGGAUAGACCUUUGCAAUUAUGGGUCUUCAACGAGGAAUUCCUAGUAAACGCAAGUCAUCAGCUUGCAUUGAUUACGUCCCUGCCCUUUGUACACACCGCCCGUCGCACCUACCGAUUGAAUGGUCCGGUGAAAUCUCGGGACGGCGGCUUGGUCGCUUGCGUCCGACUGCUGAAACUUGAUUAAACCAUAUCAUUUAGAGGAAGGUGAAGUCGAAACA